ACAGAUUAUUUAUCAUUUUAACACCUUCUGAAAACAUUGAUAAAAGAAGAAUUAUUGAAAAAAAGAAAUUUGCAAUUGAAAUUUCAAAAAGGAAAAGAAAACAAAAGAUUUAAAAAAAAAUUAAACAAACUUAAGCAGGAUAUAAUGCCUUCUUUCAAAUUUUUCUCUAUAAUAAAAAUGAUGAAAUUUCCGGAAAAAAAGACGACAAUACUAAAUACAUGAAAUAUGAGAAAUAGUAUAAUCAGAAAUGUAAUUAAAAAAAGACGAUUGAUUUCAUGUUUGAUUUAUAAGAAACAAUUUCAUGAAGAAUGUUCAAAAUUUUUGAAUAUAUACACACAGUGUGGAAAUGUUUUAUCCAAAAAAAAAAAGGUAAUAAUUUUUUGUUUCAUUGGAUUUAUUUUAUAUUCAUUUAUUUUUUUUUAAUUGAUCUAUCACACCCUGAAGCAAGGAUCUUACUCCGGAUAAAAUAACUUCAUAGAUGGUAUUCAAUUUUUUUUCUCAAAAUUAUGAUUAUUUUUUGUUUUAUUCUUUAAUAUUAUACUACACGUAUUUACAUUCACAAAUAUAUUUAUUUCUCUUGUUUAGAUAUCAGUUAACUUUAUGGUGCGCUGAUUAUUUUGAAAAAUGAGCGAGUCAUCUUCGAAAUUUCCCUAUAUAUAUAAAAAAUUUCAUAGAAAUCAUUUAAAGGAACAUGCUCACAAGCCUGAAAUCUUCAUUUUAUCACAAUUGAUCUAAGAAAUUGAUCGCGAGAAAGAUGUUCUUGGAAAUAACGGUAAUGUUGAGAAGAAGUUCCGUAGAAUGAGUAUGGAGGUACUUAUCUGGCAUUGACAAUGAGCCACAAUCUUGUGGUGUUGUGUUACACCUGUCGGACUAUCCGUGUGUUUAAGUCGCAUGUAAUUAACGCGACUCGACAGAUAUUCCCAGAUAGUGACAUAGCGUUAAUUGGUACUGAUUCGCAACAUCCAGUUCAAGGUCAUCGAUAAUUAGUUCAUGAUUUGGUCGCAGAUGGAGACCAAAAAGGAAACGAUUGCCAAGGAAUCUAGAGAGGGGUGCAGCUUUUCAUGUAGCGUACAUAAUUCCCCCUUGACUACUUCUGCAUCCAGAUCCUUCACCGUCUUCCAGACUUUAAGAUCCGUCCACAACGAAUGAUCUCAAUUUUCCUCCUAAAUCUUUUCUCCUAAACUUGGAACUUCGAGAUUUAAAAUUCAAAUUCACGAUGAAUUUGUUUUUGAACAAUAUUCAAGGGUCCAGAUCGUAAAGCAUAAUCGGUCAGUUGGAAACAGUACCUAACAUCCCUUAGGGCCGCGUGAGGAGAAAUGCAGAGGCCAUUCAACUGUCUACGAGCGAAGCAGGCAGGGGAUUUUUACAACGCCCGACUCUCUACCUACUCUCCUGUAUUCUUCUUGCUCUUCUUCCCUCUCUUCGUCUUCUUCGUCCUUUUCUUCGUCUUGUUUCUUAUAGGAUAGCCUCGGCCUUCUUUUUCUAUGCCCUCCUGAUCUCUCUACCCGGCAACGGCGUGGCGAAUCAGGGAAUCUCAUGCGUGAGAAAUUCGAACCUAAGAACCUUCGAAAUAUAUGAAAUUUGAUAUGAAGAAUAUUGUUUCUAAAUAAUAAUUUUAGAAUAUGCCUUAUAUAACCUAUUGAAUAUCCAUUCAAUAGGUUUAUUAAUUUUCAACGAGUUUGACAAUUAUCGGUAUUCGUUAUCUUUUGAUAAAAAUGAUGAAAUUGUCGUCAUAAGUUUACUAAAUAAUCAACGAUUUUAAUGGUCAAUUUAUUGACUUAAACGAAUCUUUUAAUUUCAUUAAUAUUCUCUUUUUAUUUUUCUUUUCUUCAGUUUGGUGAUAAAUGAACAUUAUUGGUCAAGAAACAUUGAAAAAAAUAGAAAUAAUAAAUAUAUGUAUUUAAUUAUGUAAUCAAAAGUAAUUCUUCAUUAAUUUUCAGGUGCGGUUACAGUACUUUUCAAUGGACAAAAGCAAGCAGGAAAAAGAAAGUUAGGAAUACAGCGCGGAACAAUCCAGUGAUAGCCGUUAUCAGCUAUACUUGAUGAUACUAACCCGUAGAUCCGAACUUGUGGGCUUUUUUAUAUGUAUACCGCAAGCUCCUAUCUACCGGUACAUGUAGUCAGGCCAGCAUUUAAGCUUUUCAACGGAACCUCCUCCUUCUCCUUCACACCCUUCUGCCCUCCUGAAAGCCCGCAGCACUUCCGGUUAUCAACGCAUAUACUUCUUGUCAAGUAAUUUUCUCGAUAGAAUAAGAGAGUGAGAGAUAGAAAGAAAUAGAGAGAGCGAAAGAGAGAGAGAGAGAGAGAGAGAGAGAGAGAGAGAGAGAGAGAGAAAGAGUACCAAUAAAAAAAUUAUGACGAGAGAAUAAGAAAAGAGUAAUAUCUAUCUGUGAUAUUAUCUAUUUCGUUUUAGCAAUCGAUUGAUUUUCAAAAAAAUGAAUUGCAUGCUAUUUUUGCAAAAUUAAAACGAAAAACUAUUUAGAAUACAAAAAGCGAGAUGUGUUUGUUGAUAAAAUUAUGAUAAAAUUAUUUAAUUAAAUUAUUUAAUUUAAAACUUUAUAUUUUAAGAUUAAAUAAGAUUUUAAAGAUAUUUUCAAGAUUGUUAAUUUUUUUAUUUUAUAUGAGUUAUAAACUCGUUAUUAUGAAGCGUAAUUAUAAAUAUCCAUAGAGAGGAUGAUGACGAAGAGAACAACUACAUUAGCGACGAUGCCUGGGUGAGGUAGUAGGUUGUAUAGUAGGGAAUGGAAAUUCGCGAUAUACGAAGUCCACUGUACAACUUGCUAACUUUCCCGGUCGUCGACGCCGCAACAUUUCAUCAUUCAACAGCAUCAUCAAGAAGAUAAUAAUCAUAUUUUUCUCUAAAAAAAAAAAAAAAAAAAAGAAAAAGAAAAAAGAAAUACGCAAAAUUUAUCAAAACAUAUGCAUAUUGAUAACUGCGUGUAUGCUGAGUGCAUAUAGUUUUGUUAAAGAAGAACAAAGAAGAUCUACCACCAUAAAUGAUAGAUACUAUAUAAGUUAUUACAUUAUAUAUUUCCAGUAAUUGUAAUAUAAUUAUAUACAUUGGCGAGGAGAUAAUAGAACCAUAAAAGGUGAUGCCUCCUCUUACAUGAAAAUGUAAGUGUAUGGAUGUAUGUGCAAUUAGAAGCGAAUAAAAAGGGAGAAAAAAUGAAAUGAGAAAAAGGGCAAUGGCGGGCGGGCUGAUUGUAAAGCCUGCCGCGUCGCCGGU
Apis cerana (Asiatic honeybee) is the source of this 3226-nucleotide long non-coding RNA. RefSeq lists it as uncharacterized. NCBI's taxonomy places the organism in Eukaryota, Metazoa, Arthropoda, Insecta, Hymenoptera, Apidae. The record is from RefSeq and is a predicted model, not a curated record.